AGUGAACGCUGGCGGUAUGCCUAACACAUGCAAGUCGAACGGCAGCACAGUAAGAUCGUGCUCUUACCGGUGGCGACUGGCGGACGGGUGACGAGUACAUCACCAUCUACUUUUUCUGGGAGGACUACGGAAGGCAGGUUCUGAUACUACCUCAUAUGUUCUACCGCUUAAAUCAGGAGAUCUUCACGCCUUUCGCGUCUGAAUUAGACGAUGUCGCAUUAGCUAGUUGGCUGGGUAAAGGCCCACCAAGGCGACGAUCCGUAGCUGAUCUGAGAGGAUGAUCGGCCACACUGGAACUGAGACACGGUCCAGACUCCUACGGGAGGCAGCAGUAGGGAAUCUUGGGCAAUGGGCGAAAGCCUGACCCAGCCAUGCCGCGUGGGUGAAGAAGGCCUUCGGGUUGUAAAGCCCUUUUAUUGGGAAAGAAAAGCUGUAGGAUAAUCCAUCGCUGUUCUGACGGUACCCAAAGAAUAAGCAACGGCUAACUUCGUG
This 492-nucleotide ribosomal RNA is filed under the name uncultured bacterium. Its description in RNAcentral is "partial 16S ribosomal RNA". It matches the Rfam family "Bacterial small subunit ribosomal RNA", at positions 29 to 507 of the family's 1533-position model. The record is from RNAcentral.